This 253-nucleotide ribosomal RNA is filed under the name uncultured bacterium. Its description in RNAcentral is "partial 16S ribosomal RNA". It matches the Rfam family "Bacterial small subunit ribosomal RNA", at positions 524 to 776 of the family's 1533-position model. The record is from RNAcentral.
UACGAAGGGGGCUAGCAUUGCUCGGAAUCACUGGGCGUAAAGGGUGCGUAGGCGGGUCUUUAAGUCAGGGGUGAAAUCCUGGAGCUCAACUCCAGAACUGCCUUUGAUACUGAGGAUCUUGAGUUCGGGAGAGGUGAGUGGAACUGCGAGUGUAGAGGUGAAAUUCGUAGAUAUUCGCAAGAACACCAGUGGCGAAGGCGGCUCACUGGCCCGAUACUGACGCUGAGGCACGAAAGCGUGGGGAGCAAACAGG